CCCGUCGACGACGAUGAAGUUGUCUCCCAUAUCCUAAACGGACUAGAUUACGACUACAAUCCUUUUGUGUCGUCUAUGCUUAGCCAUGUGGAGCCAAUAUCAUUGUCAGAUCUAUUUUCUCAACUCCUAUCUUAUGAUC
Panicum virgatum (switchgrass) is the source of this 139-nucleotide small nucleolar RNA. RefSeq annotates it as small nucleolar RNA Z247. The record is from RefSeq and is a predicted model, not a curated record. Lineage: Eukaryota; Viridiplantae; Streptophyta; Magnoliopsida; Poales; Poaceae. The transcript has a single exon.